UACGUAGGCAGCAAGCGUUGUUCGGAGUUACUGGGCGUAAAGAGUGCGUAGGCGGUCCUUUAAGUUUGGUGUGAAAUCUCCCGGCUCAACUGGGAGGGUGCGCCGAAAACUGGGAGGCUUGAGGAUGGGAGAGGCAUGCGGAAUUCCUGGUGUAGCGGUGAAAUGCGUAGAUAUCAGGAGGAACACCUGCGGUGUAGACAGCAUGCUGGACCAUUUCUGACGCUGAGGCACGAAAGCGUGGGUAGCAAACAGG
Molecule: ribosomal RNA, 253 nt
Filed under: uncultured bacterium
Lineage: Bacteria
Description: partial 16S ribosomal RNA
Rfam family: Bacterial small subunit ribosomal RNA
Source: RNAcentral